AGUGAACGCUGGCGGUAGGCCUAACACAUGCAAGUCGAACGGCAGCACAGUAAGAGCUUGCUCUUACGGGUGGCGAGUGGCGGACGGGUGAGGAAUACAUCGGAAUCUACUUUUUCGUGGGGGAUAACGUAGGGAAACUUACGCUAAUACCGCAUACGACCUACGGGUGAAAGCAGGGGAUCUUCGGACCUUGCGCGAUUGAAUGAGCCGAUUUCGGAUUAGCUAGUUGGCGGGGUAAAGGCCCACCAAGGCGACGAUCCGUAGCUGGUCUGAGAGGAUGAUCAGCCAAACUGGAACUGAGACAAGGGCCAGACUCCGACGGGAGGCAGCAGGGGGGAAUAAUGGAAAAAGGGGGAAAGGCUGAAACAGGCAAACCGGGUGGGUGAAGAAGGGCUUCGGGUUGUAAAGGCCUUUUGUUGGGAAAGAAAAGCAGCAGGUUAAUACCCCGCUGUUCUGACGGUACCCAAAGAAUAAGCACCGGCUAACUUCGUG
This 492-nucleotide ribosomal RNA is filed under the name uncultured bacterium. RNAcentral describes it as "partial 16S ribosomal RNA". It matches the Rfam family "Bacterial small subunit ribosomal RNA", at positions 29 to 507 of the family's 1533-position model. The record is from RNAcentral.